AGAGAGAGACAUGCGCGCAUAUCAAUAAGCGGAGGAAAAGAAACUAACAAGGAUUCCCUUAGUAACGGCGAGUGAAGCGGGAAGAGCUCAAAUUUGAAAUCUUCAAGGUUUUACCUUGACGAAUUGUAGUUUAAAGAAGUGUUUUCUGCUGAAGUUUUGGUAAAAGUUCUUUGGAAUAGGACAUCAUAGAGGGUGAGAAUCCCGUAUUUGACCAUUAUUUUCAGCUUUGUGAUACACUUUCAAAGAGUCGGAUUGUUUGGGAAUGCAGUCCAAAAUGGGUGGUAAAUUUCAUCUAAAGCUAAAUAUUGGCGAGAGACCGAUAGCGAACAAGUACCGUGAGGGAAAGAUGAAAAGAACUUUGAAAAGAGAGUUAAACAGUACGUGAAAUUGUCAAAAGGGAAGCGUUUGACACCAGUGUUGUUUUCUCGAAAAUCAAUUAAAAAUGGCUCGAUUUUGUAUUGCUGAGACCUUAAAAGCUCACUGUACAUUUUUCGUGUCUUUUUUAAUGCACUUUUCGUUUAACAAGUCAACAUCAGUUUCCUUUUGUUGUAAAAGGGUCAUUGGAAGGUGGCUUUCUUUUCGGAGAAAGUGUUUAUAGCCUUUGGCCUCUGCAAUCGGAGAGACUGAGGUCUGCAGCGUAGACUCUUCGGGGUUAGAUACAUUUGUGCUAAGUUAUAGCUUUUUAUAGACAACUUGUUGACUAUAAUUAGUCUUGUAGCUUACUCGCUUAUGCUAUUUUACCUACGCUUAGGAUGUUGAAGAUGUAGCACAUCAU
RNAcentral lists this ribosomal RNA (775 nucleotides) under uncultured Neocallimastigales. RNAcentral's name for it is "partial large subunit ribosomal RNA". It matches the Rfam family "Eukaryotic large subunit ribosomal RNA", at positions 23 to 634 of the family's 3401-position model. The record is from RNAcentral. Lineage: Eukaryota; Fungi; Neocallimastigomycota; Neocallimastigomycetes; Neocallimastigales.